CCUACGGGAGGCUGCAGUGGGGAAUAUUGGUCAAUGGCCGGAAGGCUGAACCAGCCACGCCGCGUGAAGGACGAAGGUGCCCAGCAUUGUAAACUUCUUUUGUCAAGGGACAAAAUCAGGCUCGAGAGCCUGACCGAGGGUACUUGAAGCAAAAGCAUCCGCUAACUCCGUGCCAGUAGCCGCGGUAAUACGGAGGAUGCGAGCGUUAUCCGGAUUUAUUGGGUGUAAAGGGUGCGUGGUCGGGCUGUUAAGUCAGCGGUAAAAGCCCGGGGCUCAACCCCGGCGAGCCGUUGAAACUGGCUGUCUUGAGAUGUCGAGAGGUAUGCGGAAUGCGCAGUGUAGCGGUGAAAGGCUUAGAUAGUGCGCAGAACUCCGAUUGCGAAGGCAGCAUACCGGCGGCGAUCUGACGCUGAGGCACGAAAGCGUGGGUAUCGAACAGGAUUAGAUACCCGAGUAGUC
RNAcentral lists this ribosomal RNA (459 nucleotides) under uncultured bacterium. Its description in RNAcentral is "partial 16S ribosomal RNA". It matches the Rfam family "Bacterial small subunit ribosomal RNA", at positions 338 to 795 of the family's 1533-position model. The record is from RNAcentral.